RNAcentral lists this ribosomal RNA (252 nucleotides) under uncultured bacterium. RNAcentral describes it as "partial 16S ribosomal RNA". It matches the Rfam family "Bacterial small subunit ribosomal RNA", at positions 524 to 776 of the family's 1533-position model. The record is from RNAcentral.
GACAUAGGUGGCAAGCGUUCUUCGGAAUUACUAGGCGUAAAGCGAGUGUAGGCGGACGAUUAAGUCCGAUGUUAAAUCUCCAGGCUUAACUUGGAGUCGCAUCGGAUACUGGUCGCCUCGAGUGGGGUAGGGGGCAGCGGAAUUCCCGGUGUAGCGGUGAAAUGCGUAGAUAUCUGGAGGAAGACCGGUGGCGAAGGCGGCAUCCUGGACCGGCAUUGACGCUGAGGAGCGAAAGCCAGGGGAGCAAACGGG